ACACCUCAACUCUCAUGGUUUGCCAUGAUGAGCUUGGACUCUGGGGGUCUUGCUGGCUUAUGGUCGGCUCCUCUCAAACGAAUCAGCUCGCCAGUGUUUGGUGGGAUCACGGGUGUGAUAACUAUCUACGCUUGUGUGUUUCCGUCAAGUAACCUUCAGCGAUGGAGGUUCGCUGGGGCUCAUAAAUGUCUCUCCUCAGCGAGGACAACCCUUUGAAU
This 218-nucleotide unclassified non-coding RNA is filed under the name uncultured Tomentella. Its description in RNAcentral is "sequence contains ITS2". Lineage: Eukaryota; Fungi; Basidiomycota; Agaricomycetes; Thelephorales; Thelephoraceae. The record is from RNAcentral.